AUCUGAACCUUCGGGGAACGAUAACGGCGUCGAGCGGCGGACGGGUGAGUAAUGCCUAGGAAAUUGCCCUGAUGUGGGGGAUAACCAUUGGAAACGAUGGCUAAUACCGCAUGAUGCCUACGGGCCAAAGAGGGGGACCUUCGGGCCUCUCGCGUCAGGAUAUGCCUAGGUGGGAUUAGCUAGUUGGUGAGGUAAGGGCUCACCAAGGCGACGAUCCCUAGCUGGUCUGAGAGGAUGAUCAGCCACACUGGAACUGAGACACGGUCCAGACUCCUACGGGAGGCAGCAGUGGGGAAUAUUGCACAAUGGGCGCAAGCCUGAUGCAGCCAUGCCGCGUGUGUGAAGAAGGCCUUCGGGUUGUAAAGCACUUUCAGUCGUGAGGAAGGUAGUGUAGUUAAUAGCUGCAUUAUUUGACGUUAGCGACAGAAGAAGCACCGGCUAACUCCGUGCCAGCAGCCGCGGUAAUACGGAGGGUGCGAGCGU
Molecule: ribosomal RNA, 483 nt
Filed under: Vibrio alginolyticus
Lineage: Bacteria; Pseudomonadati; Pseudomonadota; Gammaproteobacteria; Vibrionales; Vibrionaceae
Description: bacterial SSU rRNA
Rfam family: Bacterial small subunit ribosomal RNA
Source: RNAcentral